CCUGCGGAAGGAUCAUUAUUGAAAUAAACCUGAUGAGUUGCUGCUGGCUCUCUAGGGAGCAUGUGCACACUUGUCAUCUUUAUAUCUCCACCUGUGCACCUUUUGUAGACCUGGAUAUCUCUCUGAAUGCUAGCAUUCGGGUUUGAGGGAUUGACUUUCUAGUCUCUCCUUACAUUUCCAGGCCUAUGUUUCUUCAUAUACCCCUUUGUAUGUUAUAGAAUGUAAAAAAUGGGCCUUUGAGCCUAUAACCUAUACAACUUUCAGCAACGGAUCUCUUGGCUCUCGCAUCGAUGAAGAACGCAGCGAAAUGCGAUAAGUAAUGUGAAUUGCAGAAUUCAGUGAAUCAUCGAAUCUUUGAACGCACCUUGCGCUCCUUGGUAUUCCGAAGAGCAUGCCUGUUUGAGUGUCAUUAAUAUAUCAACUUCUUCAACUUUUGUCUGUUGAGUGUUGGAUGUGGGGGUCUUUUUUUUGCUGGCCUCUCUUCUGAAGUCAGCUCCCCUGAAAUGCAUUAGCGGAACAAUUUGUUGACCCGUUCAUUGGUGUGAUAAUUAUCUACGCUAUUGACGAGAAACAGUUCAGCUUCUAACAGUCCAUUGACUUGGACAAAUUUUCAUUAAUGUGACCUCAAAUCAGGUAGGACUACCCGCUGAACUUAA
This 656-nucleotide ribosomal RNA is filed under the name Cortinarius holojanthinus. RNAcentral's name for it is "eukaryotic LSU rRNA". The stretch from base 256 to 409 matches the Rfam family "5.8S ribosomal RNA". Lineage: Eukaryota; Fungi; Basidiomycota; Agaricomycetes; Agaricales; Cortinariaceae. The record is from RNAcentral.